AACGAACGCUGGCGGCAUGCCUAACACAUGCAAGUCGAACGAGACCUUCGGGUCUAGUGGCGCAUGGGUGCGUAACGCGUGGGAACCUGCCCUUAGGUUCGGAAUACCUCCCCGAAAGGGGUGCUAAUACCGGAUAAUGUCCUCGGACCAAAGAUUUAUCGCCUUUGGAUGGGCCCGCGUUGGUUUAGCUAGUUGGUAGGGUAAAAGCCUACCAAGGCGACGAUCCAUAGCUGGUCUGAGAGGAUGAUCAGCCACACUGGGACUGGGACACGGCCCAGACUCCUACGGGAGGCAGCAGUGGGGAAUAUUGGACAAUGGGCUAGAGCCUGAUCCAGCAAUGCCGCGUGAGUGAUGAAGUCCUGAGGGUUGUAAAGCUCUUUUACCCGGGAUGAUAAUGACAGUACCGGGAGAAUAAGCACCGGCUAACUCCGUG
RNAcentral lists this ribosomal RNA (433 nucleotides) under uncultured bacterium. RNAcentral describes it as "partial 16S ribosomal RNA". It matches the Rfam family "Bacterial small subunit ribosomal RNA", at positions 29 to 507 of the family's 1533-position model. The record is from RNAcentral.